AGAAAUCAGCUGUUUCCAAAUGCCAUUUGUAACAAGGGCCAGACAAAAGCAACUCUACACUUGUCAGGGCCCUGAGUGUUAGGCACAAGUAUGCUUACCAAGAUUCCAUUUCUCUGGAGACUGUGUGCGUGGAGCUGGGUAAAUCAAAAGGAUAAAAGAGAGUACAGCACGGCAGGGUGAUUGCAUCAGAAGAGCAAUAAAGACUUCAAAGCUGGAAGAAGAGGAACAGCAUGGAAAAGGGGGCAGUGUCUCAGCGGGACCAGCAGCAGCUCAGAUGGCCUACAUUCCUAAGACCUUUAAUUGUUGCUAAAGUCUUACUGGGGCAUCCCCUUUACAUAAGCAUGCCAGUGCCUGGUACAAGAAAAGAGAUCAGCAGUAGUGUAGACUCUUUGCCAGUGUCUGAGAACAAACUGAGAUCCCACAGAAUGAAGAGAGAAGACAUCUGAGCUGCAGAAAGGAGCCAAAACCAAGGGACACUCUGAGUGAAGAUUCGUGGACAAGGCUGGCCAACCUCAUUCCUGUGAUACCAUUGACUUGGCCAGACUUUUCCCUCUAUUUUAAUGCAGGUCUUUUAGAGCAGAGGUAUCAAACAGAUCAUGACACUUUUGAGUGCAGCCCAAGCCAGAUCAAAAUGUAAUUGGGAAAUAUUUAACAAAACAAAUAAAAAUGCAAUGAAACAGAGAUAACAUGACAUUGUAAAACUAAGUCAAUAUGCGGCCUGCAGGGAUCCUUAAGUUUGGAUUAGUGGCCUCAUUUCUAUUUGAGUCUGACACCACUGUUUUAGAAGAUUAUUUCCCAGAUUUCUACACAGAAUCUAAGAAACAGCUAUAGUCAUCUUCAAGUUUAACAAUGCCACUGUUAAAUGCUAUCCCCACUUUGUUAUGCUUCCAGAAAGAGGGAACUUUAUCCAUUUCAGAGGCAUGAUUCUUGGUGAAACUAUUUUCCCAAAAUACUCUAAUGAGAAUUAAGGAUUCAUUAACUCUCAUUUAGGAAUGCGUGUUAAAAUGUGUUCUCCAUCCUUUUCUAAUUGCUUGAGCAAAAAGUACUUUACUUUUAAAAUGCAUGGCCUUUGUCUGGUCUGCAAGUAAGGUACAGAGUUCAAAUGACUUUAGAGAUUCCCAGAUUGUCUUGGGUUGGGGCUUAAGCCAGUUAAUGUUGUUUAUUAUUAUUUCCAACAUUAUCACAAGAUUAUAUAGAUUUAGAUACAGAAGAGACAUCAAAUCCAACUCCUUCAUUUUACAGAUGAUGAAACUGAGACCAAGAAAGUGACUUGCUAAGAGUAACGUAAUUAGUAAAUGUCUGAGACAGGAUUCAAAUUCAGGACUUCUCGAUUCCACACCCAUCAGUCUGCCAAUUCUGCUCCCUAGCUGUCAGUCCCACAUUAAACCCAGUAGUUCCUGUAAAUCCUGAGUUGACAGGGACAUGAGGUACAUAUUUAUUUGAUCCUAAUAGGGCAGUCAACUUGGUAGCCAUCAGUAAUCAAGGUGAUAAUAGCAUCUAUUACUCACACACACUACUAAUAGAGACAGAAUCUAGCACCUCUUCUCUAUUAGAGCAGAAUAACGAAUGUUUUUUUAAUUUCUGAAUUCUGUCCCAAAGGUCAUUAUCCUCCAUAGUUUUCAGGUGUACUCAUCUGAAUGCACUGUCCACAUCUGGGGAGCAAUUGAAUUUGAACAGUUGAACCAAUCACAUUUAGCUUGAAUAACAAAGCUCUUUGGUUUUGAGGACCCAUAUGGAACAGUAGAAAAGACACAUUGUCAUAGGAGUCAAAAAAAAAAACCUGGGGUUUUCCCAGCCUGCCUAUCUCAAUGACCUUGGGCAAGAAGCUUCAACUUUCUGGGGCUCUAUCUCUACAACAUAAAAUGAAAGGGUUGGACAGCUCUAAAUUUCUGUGAUUCCCCAUGAUUCUCAGGCCUUCGUCCAAUACAAGAUUUUGGUUCUGACAGCCAUGUAGACAGAACUGGACAUAAACACACAACUAAGUGGAAUCCAUCCGUAGAAGAAAAUUAAAUGAAAAGACUAUCUUAUGAUCAUAGAUCUAGAAGAAACCUCAGAGGUCUCUAGUCCAAAUCUUUCAUUUUAAAAAUAAGGAAACGGAGACCCAGAUAUUAUAAGAGACUUCCCCAUGAUCUUUUGGAUAGUAAGCAUUGGAUAUAGGAUUUGAACUCAUUUUAUCUUACCCCAGAACCAGGACUCUGUUUUUCUUUAUUAUCUGGCAACCAUAUCUUCCCUCACAGGGCAAUUAGGUAGUUCAGUGGAUAGAGCAGUGGGCUUGGAACCAGGAAAACUCAUCUUCAUGAGUUCAA
Long non-coding RNA from Phascolarctos cinereus (koala), 2306 nucleotides. RefSeq lists it as uncharacterized. The record is from RefSeq and is a predicted model, not a curated record. Lineage: Eukaryota; Metazoa; Chordata; Mammalia; Diprotodontia; Phascolarctidae.